This is a long non-coding RNA of Dalotia coriaria, 444 nucleotides long. RefSeq lists it as uncharacterized. The record is from RefSeq and is a predicted model, not a curated record. Lineage: Eukaryota; Metazoa; Arthropoda; Insecta; Coleoptera; Staphylinidae. The transcript has 2 exons.
UGACAAUCUACAUAUUUUUUUUUAUUGAAGGGCUCAAUUGUCAAAAUUUCUAGACGCUCUCAAAGCAGCUUCAAUUAUAAAAACGAAAAAAUUCUCUGUUUGGAUUUCAUUGUAAAGAAACACUUCAAUAUUAUAUUCAAAAUGGCAAAAUUUGGCCGUGAUUCCAAAGAAUUACAUAGCGGAACAUUUUACAGCAAUCGAGAUAUUUUUCUAACCCAAGUAUUUGGUUUAUUCCUACUGGUGUUCAUAAUACUAUGCCUCUUGAACGAUAUAGGAUCAUGUCGUUUCUGGAGCUGCAGAAAAUUGUAGAAAAGUGGAAAAUCACGGAUUUCAAUUGGCACAAAGUGAUAAAUUACAUAUUUUGAAAAAAUGUUUUAAAUUUAAUUUGAACUAGAAUUGUGCAAUUUGCAUAUCGAUAAACAGUAAAAUGAAUCUUUUAGUUUA